GUUUUAUAGUCAAUAAUGAUAUCAGAUUGCAAGUUUGAAGGUGGGGUAAUAGCCCUAAGGCUU
RNAcentral lists this transfer RNA (63 nucleotides) under Oomorphoides metallicus. RNAcentral's name for it is "tRNA-Cys". Lineage: Eukaryota; Metazoa; Arthropoda; Insecta; Coleoptera; Chrysomelidae. The record is from RNAcentral.